CCAUGCCCGGCUAAUUUAUUUUAUUUUUUAUAGAGCUGUCUCACUAUUGCCAGGCUUCUGUGUUUACUUUUUAUUUUUGCUUUUUGUAUUUCCAGUCUCCCAGGGUCCCUUCUGCCUCUUCCCUCUGGCCCCAUCUUGUUUCCAAAGAAGUGUCUUCCACGCCUACCCACACGCCCUACUCCUCACCUUGCCCCAAGCUUCUGCCAGGGUCAGCUUGUUCCAGUUCAUAAAUUCAGUGGGCACUUAUUGAGCACCUACUGUGUGCCCCAGGAAUUGUGUUAAUGCCUUGAGAACCAAAGUCCAAAAGCUGUGCCUGAGCAUUUAUUAAGCACCAGGCAUUGUGCUACAACCUGAGAACACGAAAGGUGGUUGCUGCCCUCAAGACCCCGGGGCUACCUGGGAAAAUGCACAAAAACAGAUGGUUCUACUGGCUUGGGAAGCUGGGGACUGGGUGUGGCCAGAGCAGAAAGUUCACGAGGACUCUGAGGAGGAGGCAAGGCUUUCAGUUUGAGAGGCGCUAGCCAGGCAGGGCAGGGGUGCAGGGUGUUCCAGGUAGAAGGAACAGUGUGUAUAAAGGCACACCGGCGUGAAGCAGCCCCGUGUCCUCCGACGGGCACUCGGAGUUGUUUGGCCUGGCUGGACAUGGAGUACAGGUUGGGGAGCCGGGGAGAUGAGGCCAGAGGCAGGCCAGCCCAGAUGGUGCAGAACCUCAUGUUCCAGCAAAAGAGUUGACCUUUAUCCUGGAGCAGCUGGAAGCCCAGGCAGCCUCAUGGCUCCCUGCAGCCCGGGAGCUUCAGGGCUGGGCUGGGGCCAGGGCCAGGGCCAGAGCAUUCUCCUCUGAUCCCCCAUUAACCCACAUUUACUGCCCUUUGGCUCAGCAAGGCCUGUGGAAGAGUCCGUCACUCAAAUAUAAUGCUAUGUCCAAAGCACAGUCCUUCAUUCAUUCAUUUUAAAAAAUAAUGUUUAGCAAGCUCUGCUGUUAGCCAGGUACUGCUCUGAGCACCACUAAUGGGUCAUUGAACCCCACAGAGGUCCCAGCUCUGGAGAAAUUUACACCCUUGGCAGCUGGGAGAGGGACAGGCCAUUAAAAAAAUGAAACAAAUAAAUUAGCAAGAUAAUUUCAGAUCAUGAUAAGUGAAAGAAGAAAACAAAACAGGGAGGUAAUUGAGCAUGACUGGUGCUCUGAGUAGUCAGGGAAGGUUGCUCUGAGGAAGGUUAUAUUUGAGCUCAGACAUGGAUGACAGGAACAGAACAAACCAGUCAUGUGGACAUCUGGAGGCUGAGGGUCUCAGGCACAGGAAACAGCACAUGCAAAGGCCCCGGGGCAUAAAAGAACUUGGUGCUUUCCAGAUUUAGAAAAAAGGAUGGGUUCAAAUCUAUUAACCCCCAGCAAUCCUAUGCAAGCAUUAUUAUACCCAUUUUGUGCAAAAGGAUCAAAAUGGUCAAAUCCCUUGGCCAAAAUCACAACUGGUAGUACACAUUUUUAUUCUAAAGCCAUUGUUCUUUUUUCUACCAAAGUUGCAAGUAUAGCAACCGUGUGUGUGUAUCCUAAAUUAUCUAUGAAAGUCCAAUUUUUAAAUUCUGUCUCAUUUUCCCCUGGACAGUUAUCUUGGACAUUGUAUUCCAAACCAUGACUUGAAGCCCUGUCUUCAUUAAGUACUACCAGUACUAGUACUGAUAGUACCAGUCCUAGACUAGCACUUGACCACUGUAAGCCUUAGUUUCCUUAUCUGUACAUAGGGAGAGUAGUAUUUCCAAUAUCAUAGGCUUGGUGGGAGGAUUAAAUAAGAUUGUUCAGGUAAGAGUCAGCACAGUGCCUGGAGCAUGAUGCAAAUUCAAUUAAUGGUGCUGCUUCUUUAUUGUUUCCUUGGAAAUGGAGGCCACCUGCAGAAUGAUCCUGCCCCCACGGAGUGGGGAACCCAAGACAUAUAGACAGAAAGAGAGACCAACAAUGUGAGGCCCCAGCCGGCUGCCAGACAGGCGGGAGAGCAGCGGGGAGAGAGCGGAGAGAGAGCGGGAGAGGGCGGCCGGAGGGCCUCUUCCCUUCCCUUUGCUCAGCCUCUCGCUCCUCUGCUAGGAUCCCACAUCGAUACAUCUUGUACUUCCCGUUUCCAGGGAAAUUCCUCACGCUGGACCGCACCCACCCUUGAGGACCUCCGAUCUCUUUGAGCAGAACGGAAGCCAGACAGAGACAGGGACUACGAAGCCACAGUCCCCAGCCCUGUGUGUGCCAGGAGGCCCUGGGGCAGACGGCCACGCUGCAGGAGGCGCUAGGACCUCCCCCCGGGGAGCCCAGCAUGGCUGCAGGGACAGAACGCCUCUCAGAGGAGGAGCAUUUCCUGGAAUUCUCAUCAUUUGGGUCUCCGCACAAGUGUCACAUCCUCAGAAGUCUUCCCUCACUAUCCUCUCUAAUGGUGUCCUCAACACUUUUCAAUCACAUUGCCCUGUCUGCCGCAUGAGAACUUCAGCUCCAUGAACAAAUGCAUCCUGAAUGUUUUGCUUACCUACAACAGUGCCUGAUAGAUGACCAUGACAUCCAAAAGCAAUACCAUAAUUUAUGUAACCAGUUGGCAGACGUUAAGUUGUUUAUAUUCAUUACAAAUGCUGCUGCAAUGAACUAUAUCUUAUAUCUACCCACUUGCUUGGAAUAUAUGGGUGUAUUUCUGUAGUAUAAAUUCCCAGAAGUGGAAUUAUUGCGACAAAGACUAUGUGAGUUAUUGCCAAGUUUUCUUCUGAAGAGGUUUCAUCAAUUUUUGGUCUUACCAAUAAUAUUGUUUCCUGCACCCUGACCAACCCACUGUUUUACAAAACUUUAGCAGUUUCUUAGAAAAUGAUAUCUCUGGUAAGUGUAAAAUGGUUUUGGUUUACAUUUCUCUUAUUAUAGGUUAGGUGGAAUGUCUUUUCAUACUCACCAGUGAUUUAAAUUAUGAAAGUAAUUCAAGUAUCUAGUAAAACAUUAUCUAGUAAAACAAUAUAAAGAGAAAUGCAAUAAAAACUAGUUCUUCCUACUCCAGGUUGCCAGGUCCCAUCUUCUUAGGAGUAACCAGCAUUAAGAGUUCCUUGGGGGCCGGGCGCUGUGGCUCACGC
Molecule: non-coding RNA, 3087 nt
Organism: Microcebus murinus (gray mouse lemur)
Lineage: Eukaryota; Metazoa; Chordata; Mammalia; Primates; Cheirogaleidae
Source: RefSeq, a predicted model, not a curated record